GUCUUCUUGGAUCAGUUGGUUAGAGUGCAGGUCUUAUAGCAAUAUGAUGUGGUUCCGUACCACAGUAAUCUUGAGGUCAUGAGUUUGACCCUCACAGACGACA
Molecule: non-coding RNA, 103 nt
Organism: Tephrocybe sp. NHM501043
Lineage: Eukaryota; Fungi; Basidiomycota; Agaricomycetes; Agaricales; Lyophyllaceae
Source: the annotation of a GenBank genome assembly